AGCAGCCGCGGUAAUUCCAGCUCCAAUAGCGUAUAUUAAAGUUGUUGCAGUUAAAAAGCUCGUAGUUGAACCUUGGGCCUGGCUGGCCGGUCCGCCUAACCGCGUGAACUGGUCCGGCCGGGCCUUUCCUUCUGGGGAGCCGCAUGCCCUUCACUGGGCGUGUCGGGGAACCAGGACUUUUACUGUGAAAAAAUUAGAGUGUUCAAAGCAGGCCUUUGCUCGAAUACAUUAGCAUGGAAUAAUAGAAUAGGACGUGUGGUUCUAUUUUGUUGGUUUCUAGGACCGCCGUAAUGAUUAAUAGGGACAGUCGGGGGCAUCAGUAUUCAAUUGUCAGAGGUGAAAUUCUUGGAUUUAUUGAAGACUAACUACUGCGAAAGCAU
Molecule: ribosomal RNA, 380 nt
Filed under: uncultured Ascomycota
Lineage: Eukaryota; Fungi; Ascomycota
Description: SSU rRNA
Rfam family: Eukaryotic small subunit ribosomal RNA
Source: RNAcentral